Molecule: ribosomal RNA, 470 nt
Filed under: uncultured bacterium
Lineage: Bacteria
Description: bacterial SSU rRNA
Rfam family: Bacterial small subunit ribosomal RNA
Source: RNAcentral
GAUGAACGCUAGCGGCAGGCUUAAUACAUGCAAGUCAAGGGGGUAGCAAUACAACCGGCGCACGGGUGAGUAACGCGUACACAACAUGCCAUAUACUGGAGUAUAGCUUUGGGAAACUGAAGGUAAUCCUCCAUAAUAUUACGGAUAGGCAUCUAUUUGUAAUUAAAGUUUCGACGGUAUAUGAUUGGUGUGCGUUUGAUUAGCUAGUUGGUAGGGUAACGGCCUACCAAGGCUACGAUCAAUAGCUGGCGUGAGAGCGCGACCAGCCACACUGGAACUGAGACACGGUCCAGACUCCUACGGGAGGCAGCAGUAGGGAAUAUUGGACAAUGGGCGAAAGCCUGAUCCAGCCAUGCCGCGUGAUAGAUGAAGGCCCUCUGGGUUNUAAAUAUCUUUUAUCUGGGAAGAAACACUUCUAUUCUUAGGAGCUUGACGGUACCAGAGGAAUAAGCACCGGCUAACUCCGUGCC